RNAcentral lists this ribosomal RNA (428 nucleotides) under uncultured bacterium. RNAcentral describes it as "partial 16S ribosomal RNA". It matches the Rfam family "Bacterial small subunit ribosomal RNA", at positions 355 to 768 of the family's 1533-position model. The record is from RNAcentral.
UGGGGAAUUUUGGACAAUGGGCGCAAGCCUGAUCCAGCCAUGCCGCGUGCGGGAAGAAGGCCUUCGGGUUGUAAACCGCUUUUGUCAGGGAAGAAAUCUUCUGAGUUAAUACCUCGGGAGGAUGACGGUACCUGAAGAAUAAGCACCGGCUAACUACGUGCCAGCAGCCGCGGUAAUACGUAGGGUGCAAAGCGUUAAUCGGAAUUACUGGGCGUAAAAGCGUGCGCAGGCGGUUUUGUAAGACAGAGGUGAAAUCCCCGGGCUCAACCUGGGAACUGCCUUUGUGACUGCAAGGCUUGAGUGCGGCAGAGGGGGGAUGGAAUUCCGCGUGUAGCAGUGAAAAUGCGUAGAUAUGCGGAGGAAACACCGAUGGCGAAAGGCAAAUCCCCUGGGCCUGCACUGACGCUCAUGCACGAAAAGCGUGGGAG